This 497-nucleotide ribosomal RNA is filed under the name uncultured bacterium. RNAcentral describes it as "partial 16S ribosomal RNA". It matches the Rfam family "Bacterial small subunit ribosomal RNA", at positions 28 to 507 of the family's 1533-position model. The record is from RNAcentral.
GAUGAACGCUGGCGGCGUGCCUAAUACAUGCAAGUCGAGCGAACAGACGAGGAGCUUGCUCCUCUGACGUUAGCGGCGGACGGGUGAGUAACACGUGAAUAACCUACCUAUAAGACUGGGAUAACUUCGGGAAACCGGAGCUAAUACCGGAUAAUAUAUUGAACCGCAUGGUUCAAUAGUGAAAGACGGUUUUGCUGUCACUUAUAGAUGGAUCCGCGCCGCAUUAGCUAGUUGGUAAGGUAACGGCUUACCAAGGCGACGAUGCGUAGCCGACCUGAGAGGGUGAUCGGCCACACUGGAACUGAGACACGGUCCAGACUCCUACGGGAGGCAGCAGUAGGGAAUCUUCCGCAAUAGGCGAAAGCCUGACGGAGCAACGCCGCGUGAGUGAUGAAGGUCUUCGGAUCGUAAAACUCUGUUAUUAGGGAAGAACAAAUGUGUAAGUAACUAUGCACGUCUUGACGGUACCUAAUCAGAAAGCCACGGCUAACUACGUG